RNAcentral lists this ribosomal RNA (252 nucleotides) under uncultured bacterium. Its description in RNAcentral is "partial 16S ribosomal RNA". It matches the Rfam family "Bacterial small subunit ribosomal RNA", at positions 524 to 776 of the family's 1533-position model. The record is from RNAcentral.
UACGUAGGGCGCAAGCGUUAUCCGGAAUUAUUGGGCGUAAAGAGCUCGUAGGCGGUUGUCGCGUCUGCCGUGAAAGUCCAGGGCUCAACCCUGGGAUGCCGGUGGAUACUGUCGGACUAGAGUACGGAAGAGGCGAGUGGAAUUCCUGGUGUAGCGGUGAAAUGCGCAGAUAUCAGGAGGAACACCAAUGGCGAAGGCAGCUCGCUGGGACGUGACUGACGCUGAGACGCGAAAGCGUGGGGAGCAAACAGG